UGAGCAAUCUGCCCUUGACUCUGGAAUAACAGCUGGAAACAGCUGCUAAUACCGGAUACGACCUCCGAUGGCAUCAUCUGGAGGUGAAAGCUCCGGCGGAGAAGGAUGAGCUCGCGGCCUAUCAGCUAGUUGGUGUGGGUAAUGGCCCACCAAGGCGACGACGGGUAGCCGGCCUGAGGGGGUGACCGGCCACACUGGGACUGAGACACGGCCCAGAUCCUAACGGGG
This 228-nucleotide ribosomal RNA is filed under the name uncultured bacterium. RNAcentral's name for it is "partial 16S ribosomal RNA". It matches the Rfam family "Bacterial small subunit ribosomal RNA", at positions 118 to 346 of the family's 1533-position model. The record is from RNAcentral.